Molecule: transfer RNA, 68 nt
Filed under: Pselaphinae sp. 9 EF-2015
Lineage: Eukaryota; Metazoa; Arthropoda; Insecta; Coleoptera; Staphylinidae
Description: tRNA-Gln
Source: RNAcentral
UAUAAUUAAGUAUAUGAUGUACAUAAGUUUUUGAUACUUAAAGAGUAGUUUAAUUCUACAAAUUAUAA